Molecule: small nuclear RNA, 196 nt
Filed under: Oryza sativa Indica Group (long-grained rice)
Lineage: Eukaryota; Viridiplantae; Streptophyta; Magnoliopsida; Poales; Poaceae
Description: U2 spliceosomal RNA
Source: RNAcentral
AUAUUAAAUUAGCGAUUUUGCUAUAUCUCACUCGAAAGAUUUUUUCUUAUCUCUCACUCGAUUUUCUCACUCAAAUUUACAGUGCAUUUUAUGAAACUUACACUGUAACUUUUGUAAGUUACACUGUAAUUUUUGAAUCUUCACAUGUAAAUUUUAAAUUUUGUAUUGGAUUUAGUCUUUUUCUUGAGGAUAUGGU